This 428-nucleotide ribosomal RNA is filed under the name uncultured bacterium. Its description in RNAcentral is "bacterial SSU rRNA". It matches the Rfam family "Bacterial small subunit ribosomal RNA", at positions 30 to 506 of the family's 1533-position model. The record is from RNAcentral.
UUGAACGCUGGCGGCAGGCCUAACACAUGCAAGUCGAACGCCCCGCAAGGGGAGUGGCAGACGGGUGAGUAACACGUGGGAACCUUCCCUAUAGUACGGAAUAGCCCAGGGAAACUUGGAGUAAUACCGUAUACGCCCGAAAGGGGAAAGAAUUUCGCUAUAGGAUGGGCCCGCGUAGGAUUAGCUAGUUGGUGAGGUAACGGCUCACCAAGGCGACGAUCCUUAGCUGGUUUGAGAGAACGACCAGCCACACUGGGACUGAGACACGGCCCAGACUCCUACGGGAGGCAGCAGUGGGGAAUAUUGGACAAUGGGCGCAAGCCUGAUCCAGCCAUGCCGCGUGAGUGAUGAAGGCCUUAGGGUUGUAAAGCUCUUUUGGCGGGGACGAUAAUGACGGUACCCGCAGAAUAAGUCCCGGCUAACUUCGU